This 549-nucleotide ribosomal RNA is filed under the name uncultured bacterium. RNAcentral's name for it is "bacterial SSU rRNA". It matches the Rfam family "Bacterial small subunit ribosomal RNA", at positions 355 to 895 of the family's 1533-position model. The record is from RNAcentral.
UAGGGAAUCUUCGGCAAUGGACGGAAGUCUGACCGAGCAACGCCGCGUGAGUGAAGAAGGUUUUCGGAUCGUAAAGCUCUGUUGUAAGAGAAGAACGAGUGUGAGAGUGGAAAGUUCACACUGUGACGGUAUCUUACCAGAAAGGGACGGCUAACUACGUGCCAGCAGCCGCGGUAAUACGUAGGUCCCGAGCGUUGUCCGGAUUUAUUGGGCGUAAAGCGAGCGCAGGCGGUUAGAUAAGUCUGAAGUUAAAGGCUGUGGCUUAACCAUAGUAGGCUUUGGAAACUGUUUAACUUGAGUGCAAGAGGGGAGAGUGGAAUUCCAUGUGUAGCGGUGAAAUGCGUAGAUAUAUGGAGGAACACCGGUGGCGAAAGCGGCUCUCUGGCUUGUAACUGACGCUGGGGCUCGAAAGCGUGGGGAGCAAACAGGAUUAGAUACCCUGGUAGUCCACGCUGUAAACGAUGAGUGCUAGGUGUUAGACCCUUUCCGGGGUUUAGUGCCGUAGCUAACGCAUUAAGCACUCCGCCUGGGGAGUACGACCGCAAGGUU